UAAAGCUGUGUAAAGGCCCUUCUGGCCAUAACUGUCACCUGCUCCUUAAGCAGGAGUUGUGAGUCCAGAAGAUCUCCUAAACGGUACACUAAAUCAAAGCAGGGUAGUGCUAUCCCACUGGAUGUAUCUCUUCAAAGAGGAUCAGGAUGACAACCUAUCACACCUGAAGAAGUGUUGAUUUUGUUUUGAAGGACAAGAGUGUCUGCCGAGUGUGUAAUACUAACGGCUUUCUCGGUGCACUAGGAAUACAGUUUGAACCUGUCAAAUUAGUUUUUGAAAAAAGUCAUCUGGGCAGCUCCGGGAUACAAAGCAGACCUCAUUAAAGCUGCAUAUGCUCAACACUGGAUCAAAUGACGAAUGGGGACAAGGGGUUUAAAUCGAGAAGCUGGCACCAGAGCCGUGGUGGCGCAGUGAAUAGAAUGCAGUAUUGCAGGCUUACUCUGCCAACUACCAUCAGUUUGAUCCUGACCAGCUCAGUCUUCCAUCUUUCCGAGAGAUAUCCACAAGGUGCCGAAGAAGUCAUUCAUCUUGGAAAGAAGAAAAGAUUUAUCAGAAGUUAGAGCUCUGAAAUAUCGAAUAACGAAAUCCACCCCCCCUUUCUUUCUUUUUAACUAUAUUUCCUCACAAACAUCUUGGAGCCCAACACCUGCAAUUCAACAUUGUUAGUUACUCCAAAACUGACUUAAACAAAGCUGUAGAGCAGCUCCAGACCUCACUCAAUAAUUUACAAGAUGUCAGCAACUGUAAAGAAUUGUAGGCAUCUAGAGAACUUCUGGUCAAGAAAUAUAAUAGCGACUUGCCAGAAUGGCUUUGUGAGCAUUUUAUUGUAACAGAAA
Pantherophis guttatus is the source of this 836-nucleotide non-coding RNA. The record is from RefSeq and is a predicted model, not a curated record. NCBI's taxonomy places the organism in Eukaryota, Metazoa, Chordata, Lepidosauria, Squamata, Colubridae.